This 375-nucleotide ribosomal RNA is filed under the name uncultured organism. Its description in RNAcentral is "bacterial SSU rRNA". It matches the Rfam family "Bacterial small subunit ribosomal RNA", at positions 526 to 896 of the family's 1533-position model. The record is from RNAcentral.
CGUAGGGAGCAAGCGUUGUUCGGAUUUACUGGGCGUAAAGGGCGCGUAGGCGGCAAAUUAAGUCAGCUGUGAAAUCUCCGAGCUUAACUCGGAACGGUCAGCUGAUACUGAUCUGCUAGAGUGCGGAAGGGGCAAUCGGAAUUCUUGGUGUAGCGGUGAAAUGCGUAGAUAUCAAGAGGAACACCUGAGGUGAAGACGGGUUGCUGGGCCGACAUUGACGCUGAGUGCGCGAAAGCCAGGGGAGCAAACGGGAUUAGAUACCCCGGUAGUCCUGGCCUUAAACGAUGAAUACUUGGUGUCUGGAGUCUCUAUAGCUCCGGGUGCCGUCGCUAACGUUUUUAGUAUUCCGCCUGGGGGAGUACGCACGCAAGUGUG